Molecule: transfer RNA, 92 nt
Filed under: Felis catus (domestic cat)
Lineage: Eukaryota; Metazoa; Chordata; Mammalia; Carnivora; Felidae
Also listed under: 1 other name
Rfam family: tRNA
About the family: Transfer RNA (tRNA) molecules are approximately 80 nucleotides in length.
Source: Rfam by way of RNAcentral
GCAUGAGUGGCUCAGUUGGUUAAGCAACUGUCUCUUGAUUUUGGCUCAGGUCAUGAUCACACAGUUCAUGGGUUCGAGCCCCAUCACGGGCU